UAGGGANUCUUCCGCAAUGGGCGAAAGCCUGACGGAGCAACGCCGCGUGAGUGAAGAAGGAUUUCGGUUCGUAAAGCUCUGUUGUUAGGGAAGAAUGAUUGUGUAGUAACUAUACACAGUAGAGACGGUACCUAACCAGAAAGCCACGGCUAACUACGUGCCAGCAGCCGCGGUAAUACGUAGGUGGCAAGCGUUGUCCGGAAUUAUUGGGCGUAAAGCGCGCGCAGGUGGUUUAAUAAGUCUGAUGUGAAAGCCCACGGCUCAACCGUGGAGGGUCAUUGGAAACUGUUAAACUUGAGUGCAGGAGAGAAAAGUGGAAUUCCUAGUGUAGCGGUGAAAUGCGUAGAGAUUAGGAGGAACACCAGUGGCGAAGGCGGCUUUUUGGCCUGUAACUGACACUGAGGCGCGAAAGCGUGGGGAGCAAACAGGAUUAGAUACCCUGGUAGUCCACGCCGUAAACGAUGAGUGCUAAGUGUUGGUCUCAUAAGAGAUCAGUGCUGCAGCUAACGCACUAAGCACUCCGCCUGGGGAGUACGACCGCAAGGUUG
This 548-nucleotide ribosomal RNA is filed under the name uncultured bacterium. Its description in RNAcentral is "bacterial SSU rRNA". It matches the Rfam family "Bacterial small subunit ribosomal RNA", at positions 355 to 896 of the family's 1533-position model. The record is from RNAcentral.